GACGUAGGGGGCCAGCGUUGCUCGGAAUUACUGGGUGUAAAGGGUUCGUAGGCGGUGUGGCAAGUUGGGAGUGAAAUCUCUGGGCUCAACCCAGAGGCUGCUUCCAAAACUGCUGUGCUUGAGUGUGAGAGAGGCUCGUGGAAUUGCAGGUGUAGCGGUGAAAUGCGCAGAUAUCUGCAGGAACACCCGUGGCGAAAGCGGCGCGCUGGACCAUAACUGACGCUGAAUGACGAAAGCUAGGGGAGCAAACAGG
RNAcentral lists this ribosomal RNA (253 nucleotides) under uncultured bacterium. Its description in RNAcentral is "partial 16S ribosomal RNA". It matches the Rfam family "Bacterial small subunit ribosomal RNA", at positions 524 to 776 of the family's 1533-position model. The record is from RNAcentral.